AUGUGCCUACAUUCAGGGUGKUUGGAGCUGAAUCUUAAGCUGAAUGCUCCCUUCCAGGAGGGGCCACUUGCACCUGGUGGUUGGCUUGCAGCGAUGAGGAACCUCAGYUACCCUGUCAUAUAUCGGAGGUGAGCGCUAGCUACUCUGCAUCUCCCCUCCCUUUGAGUCACUGAAGAACGAAGAACGUCAGAGGACUGCUGUGACCACGGGGCCUCUUGGGCAGUGGCAUCUUGGCUGAGGAACCAGACUCUCAYGGGGGGACUACAGCUCCCAUAGGGCACUGCAGCUGCCUGUCUGAACCAAAACGCACAGGUUUGAGCUGAGAAUGGUUUUCGGCUUCUGAUGGCAAACCAGAAUCGUUUAUGCAUCCGUCAACUAGUAAGUCCCUCUGUAUGUGGGAUGUUCACCGUGGGACCUGGGGUGUUUGCGCUGGGGAAGAGAGACCCGAGUUCUCAAGCGGCAGCUACGCAACCAGGAUACUCGCGGAGGAGGGAAUUCUUCUCCCCACUGCUAUGCAAGCACUCUCCAACGUCAGCAUUUCGGCUGGGAGAGGGAACUUCAGGCAAAUUCUCACACACAAACACGCACCCUCAAAGCAAAACACACAAAUUGCC
RNAcentral lists this long non-coding RNA (614 nucleotides) under Dromaius novaehollandiae (emu). Its description in RNAcentral is "lncRNA (ENSDNVG00000004578.1)". The record is from RNAcentral. Lineage: Eukaryota; Metazoa; Chordata; Aves; Casuariiformes; Dromaiidae.